ACUAUUACACCUCACUUUCUUUCCCUUUCAAACCCUUGCUUCCGUUGGUCGCGAAUUUGUGUUCUGUCGCUCUCAAAUCCCGCUUUUUAUCGUUCUCGGCUCUUGGUUUGCUCAGAAAGCACCGAAUCAGUGUAAGGUUCGUUUAUACAGAGACAAGGACAACUUGGCCACUGCACCAUUUAUCGGCACUUGAGGGUACACUUCUGGGCAUCAUUACGGGUGUCAAUUUCUUUAGAACUCAUGGAUAAGUAGUUUUGCGAUAUCAGUUGUUGGACUCGACUGUCUACUAUCAAUCAGACACUAGACUAUGCCUUCAGUCAAUUGAGAAAACUUAAUUUUUCACAGAUUCAGUCUUCAGUAGAUGGCUGAGGAAUUUCCACAUGCAGCACUGUAUCAAAUUAUUAUUGAUCAUAGGUACGAAGAAGGCCUUAUUAGUGUAAUGAGAGAGUCCAAUAUCAACUGGACGUGAAGUAACGUUUACAAUUACUUUGGGCGGUUCUAUACUAAACUGGAGGAAAAGAUACAUGCAAAGGAGAUGGAGAAGAAUAAUUUGCAAGCCAAGUAUGAGAUGAUAUUCCAAUAGUGUGGAAGAAAAGAGCACCAUCGCCACAAAAGCCGGCUUUUCGUGGGAAGAUUCGACAGGGAAAAUGUGAUUUCAACUGCGUUGGAGCAUAAGAGGAAGAGAGAUGAGGUAGACCCGAUAUCGUGGUGUUCAGUAACUCAGCUGGUUUUAUGAGUAUGACCAUGAUGGAUCAAAAGCUAGGGAUCUUGAAUUGGCAAUUGGAAUUAAAGUCUUAAUACAUGAAUUUUGGGUCGUUGGAGGAAGAAUUUGGCUGCUUGACAUUUUGAGUCUUUGUACCUGACACAACUACAUCACCUCCAAAGUUGCAGACAAGGAUUGCAAGUAAAAUGACGGUUUUGACCCUGGAUUGCCAAUAGAAGUCUCUCGACUCCUUCAUCAGAAACGAAAUCCAAAAAGGAAAAACUGUGCUCUGCAACACGAUUGACGAUUUCGAUUCCGCUUUGUGGAUGCCUCUGGAACUCUCCAGUCCUGCGACCGUUCAUCAUAUCGCUGGACCUUCCACUUCUAGUGCAUCUUCAUGGUUUUUCCAUCCGUUCCCUCUCUCUUUCUCAAAUUUCUGCUUCCGCCGUUCUCAAACUCGCCUCUCUCACUCUCAAGCGUUCAGUCUCUCUCGCUCUCAAACGUUGCCGAUCCAUUGAAACCCAUAUUCCUUUCCUCAAAAUCCAAGGUUUUUCAAAAUUUGGAUGUUUGUAGGUUGCAAAACCCUCUGUUCUCAAGGUAAGUAAUUUAAAAUUCUGGGGUUAUUCUAUUGAAAGUUUCAAUUUAUAGUUUAGUUUAGUUUUUUUAUAAUCAGAGUUGAGUUGGUAUUUUGUUUGUGUUUGAUUAUAUUGAAAUCAGAGUUUCAGAGGACUUCUGUUUGGGUUUGAUAUUUCCCCACGAUGUAUAAAAUGAGGGAGGGCAAAGCAUUUAACACACCAGAUUAUAUUGGCUGUUUUUGUUAUUUCAUGCUACGUAUUGUAAUUGGGAGAAGUAAAGAACAUGUAUGCUUUUAGCACCACCACCUAGAUUGGAUUCCAAUGAGCUGUAUCUGAAGAAACAUCUGAAAAAUUCAAAGCUUAUGGAAUGAUUUUUAAAAAAUCAGGCCAUAAUCAGUUUGUACAGGAAUACCAGGAAAUCAGGGAUUAGGAUUAAUCUCCCUGUUAACAUGUGGCCAGUAACAUGUCCAGGGCAAGCUUUGAAUGCACCUAAUGACUUGCCUAAGAAUGUCACAUGGACAUUGAAUCAGGGCUCAAUUCCCAUGAGCAUGGAUUUUCAUCCUUCACAGCAGACUCUGCUUCUUGGGUUGUAUUUUUUAAGUAGCUCCUUAUAUUUAUUUGUGUACCUUCGGCUCUACAGUUUUUCCCUAGGUGCUUGCUGCUCAUAAUUGACUGUUGAUUGUUCUCUGUAUAUACUUCAGUUGGUACCAAUAUGGGGGACAUAGGGCUGUGGGAAGUUGGAUCUAGGAAGAUCCUCUGUAUGCUAUCAAUUUGUUGUCUGAGGAGAAUAGCUGAAUAGAUCAGAUAGGACAUGAAGAAAAUCAUUUUGGUAACAAAGAAGAAAGAAGAGUGAAGUAAUGAGAUAUGAAGAGAACUUUGCCGCUAAGAUUAAAAUAGAGAUUGUAGUGAGCAAAGUCUAGCGGAAUCACCGCCAUCAACAGCUAUGGCUGCGCAGUUCGUCGUCGUCCAGUAUUCCUCCAAAAUUCCACUAUCUCUCUUUGCUCUCUCCUAUUCAGUUGCUGAGAAGAACAAAGAUGUGCAAUUAAUAGAUUUUGUUGAAAUCGAGUUUUUGGCUGAGCAGGUGGAAGCCUAUCAGGAAAAUAUCUGAAUAUUUUGCUCAACUAAGGACACUUCACAAAGGGCACGCGUCUGCCUUUCUAUAUUGAUGAUAUACUGAUGGAAAUGAGUUUCUUGCCAAGGCUCACAAGGCACUGAAAUGCCCCUGCAAAGCCGACUUACAAAGUGGGCCCUAUGGACUUAAGUUUUCAGAGGCUUUUCUCUGUUAUCUUAAAAGCACAGUGGAAGAAAAGGGAUCAGGCUGUGUCCAUCCAUUUGUAGUUUUGCAGAAUUGUAUUAAAGUUAAUCCUUCUAAAGACAAUUUAGAAGAGGAUGCGAUUAACAAAGAUGACGACUACACCACUUUUGCUCUUUUCCUUUUCUUAUAACAAACAAUGACCAUUGAGUUUUUUUCUCUUUUUUUC
Molecule: RNA transcript, 2759 nt
Organism: Pyrus x bretschneideri (Chinese white pear)
Lineage: Eukaryota; Viridiplantae; Streptophyta; Magnoliopsida; Rosales; Rosaceae
Gene name: ferritin-3, chloroplastic-like
Exons: 19
Source: RefSeq, a predicted model, not a curated record